This 2189-nucleotide long non-coding RNA is filed under the name Mus musculus (house mouse). RNAcentral's name for it is "long non-coding RNA chr2:43811661-43813850". Lineage: Eukaryota; Metazoa; Chordata; Mammalia; Rodentia; Muridae. The record is from RNAcentral.
UGGUGUGUGUGUGUGUGUGUGUUUCAAAACAGAGUUAGUUCAAAACUCAGUAUAGUACUGGCUGUCCUGAAACUCGUUCUAUAGGCCAUUCUUGUCUGCCUCCAAAUCCUGGGAUUAAGUGAGUACUACCAUCAAUCCAUAUGUGGCUAUUCUAUAGAACAAUUACAUGAUGAAAUCCCUUUUUCACUUGAGGUUAUCUAUACUUAGUACAUACAAGAACUUGGAGCUAUUCACAGUGCUAAAGAAGAAUCCUCUCAUCUAAUAUAUGAUGAAAUACAUCUUGGCCUCUGAGUUUCUGAAGUAAGAUUAAUAAUAGAUGCUGGAGGUCUCAUUGAUUAUCAGGAAGAAGAUUUUAGUCCUCUGUUUCUCAGCCACAUGUGACCCUCUUCUUUCUUCCCUCUGCAUUAGCAGGCAACUUUGAGUCUAAGCUGCUCUGAUUUAACGUUAUGAUCACAUGGCUAUGUGUAAUGGAUACAGUGUCUGGGAGUCUGUGCCUUCUGAGUGAUGACUGUUACUGGGAGUAAUACCUUCAUUACCUGGGUACCAGGUACUACAAAUUGAUGAUCUUCUUGAAGGUUCUGUCAGGAAAAUGAGCUAGUGGAUUCAUCAGAAUUCUUCUGUUUUGUUUUCUAAGUUUUCUUUUCUGUCACUAAUAUUCCUUUCUCCACAGUUUCAAAUGCAGGUUGCAUCUACUUUAGUCAUUAUAGUAACUAUAAUGUGACCACAUGUUGUUUCUUUUUUAAUAAUCCAAAAAAUAUCUCAGUCAUGUUUACUUUUGCUAAUAUGUUCAUUUUAUGAUGUUUUAGAAAAAUGCUAAUUUUGUUGUAUUUAUUUCUUUAUUGCCAGUUUCUCUCUUUGUUAUUCUUUAGUAACUUCUUACAUGGAUAUGUGAUAAUAUUCAUCCACUGCCCUCUUUUGUCAUCUUUCUUCUCCAACAACAGCCUUUUUUCCCCCAACUAGCCUACUUCAUACUGUGUGAACGUGUGUGAAUGUGUGUUUGUGUGUGUGUGUGUGUGCACAUGUGUGUGCAUGAGUGAUUCACUAAAUUUCAUUAUGGUUGGCUGCAUGAGAAUGAGUAGGAAACCUGGACAACUAUUACUAUUGUCAUAGCAACUAUUGCUAUGACAUUCCAUACUCCAUACUCUGUAGUUAGUCGCAUAUAUUCAGUACUCUAAACAUGUUUGAAUCUCUGUAAGAACUGCUGCCCACUCAAAAAAAUUAGCUUUUCUGUAGAUGUUGAGAACAACACUAGUAUAUGGUUAAAAGCAUAUGUCAGUAGAAGGUAGUUGGGCACAAUGUCUAUUUUGAUAUGAAAAUAUCAAUUUUCUUCUAAGCUCUAUGAUAUCCCCCCAACUGUAGGCUCUUUACCAAGUUUUCAUUCUUCACCAUGAGCUAACUUCUCUUGAGUGGGCUGACAAUCCAAUCUGAAAGCUGUCCUUUACCCUAUAACAGUUAUGCUACUAUUGUACCAAUGUGAAUCUCCCCCUCCCCUGUAGAUUGUUACUGUAGAUCAUGGUAUCUCCAGCUGUGUAGGACUGAUGGUGAAUUCACUCCUCCAGAAGCUUCUAGAGUAAGUUCUGGCAUUGUGUAAGCAAGCCAACAAAGGGGGUGGGGUGUAAUUCUUCUCCAUGUCCUGCAACCCAAUGUGUGAUGUCUCCAUCAGUUGUUUUACAUUAUCAUUCUUUUAGGCAACCAAGAGAAUGCAUUAUUUGGGAAUACAGGGGUCUGUCUACAUUAACAACAACUUGCAGGGAUAUAACUCAUACCAGGUACUGGUUUCUGAGAAGAUUACUAUCUAUCCAUGCUAGUUGAGAAAUACCUUUAGCUUCAUUUUUAGUAGAUUUAGAAAAUACUAGUCAUGAUGGUUCAUGUUAAUUGUCAACUUAACGACAUGUAUGAUCACCUGGAAGAUGUGCCUGUGGGGAAUAACCUUUCUUACACUGAAGUGAGAUUUCGAAUUACUGAGGGCUUACCAUGCUCUGGCUGGGAUCCUGGAUUGUAUAAAUGGAAAAGGUAGAGAGCAUGCAUGCGUCCAACCCUUUUCUCUCUCUUCCUAGUUAGAAUGUGACUAGAUGUCUUUAGCUCUGUUGCUCUGAUGUCCCCACAGGUGCUCCUUUACAGUUUGGACUACAAACUGAAAUAAGCAGUUUACCCUUUGAAUUGCUUUUGCCAGAGUAUCUUAUCAUAGC